This 253-nucleotide ribosomal RNA is filed under the name uncultured bacterium. RNAcentral's name for it is "partial 16S ribosomal RNA". It matches the Rfam family "Bacterial small subunit ribosomal RNA", at positions 524 to 776 of the family's 1533-position model. The record is from RNAcentral.
UACAGAGGUCCCAAGCGUUGUUCGGAUUCAUUGGGCGUAAAGGGUGCGUAGGCGGCUUUCUAAGUCUGAUGUGAAAUCCCGGGGCUCAACUCCGGAACUGCAUUGGAUACUGGGAGGCUUGAGUACUGGAGAGGAGACUGGAAUUUACGGUGUAGCAGUGAAAUGCGUAGAGAUCGUAAGGAAGACCAGUGGCGAAGGCGAGUCUCUGGACAGUUACUGACGCUGAGGCACGAAGGCCAGGGGAGCAAACGGG